Molecule: ribosomal RNA, 207 nt
Filed under: uncultured bacterium
Lineage: Bacteria
Description: partial 16S ribosomal RNA
Rfam family: Bacterial small subunit ribosomal RNA
Source: RNAcentral
UGCGUAGGCGGGUUGCCAAGUCUGUGGUGAAAUCCUCCGGCUUAACCGGAGAACUGCCGUGGAUACUGGCGACCUCGAGUGGGGUAGGGGCUUGCGGAACUGUGCGUGGAGCGGUGAAAUGCGUUGAUAUGCACAGGAACUCCGGUGGCGAAGGCGGCGAGCUGGACCCUAACUGACGCUGAGGCACGAAAGCCAGGGGAGCGAACG